GACGAACGCUGGCGGCGUGCCUAAUACAUGCAAGUUGAGCGCUGAAGGUUGGUACUUGUACCAACUGGAUGAGCAGCGAACGGGUGAGUAACGCGUGGGGAAUCUGCCUUUGAGCGGGGGACAACAUUUGGAAACGAAUGCUAAUACCGCAUAAAAACUUUAAACACAAGUUUUAAGUUUGGAAGAUGCAAUUGCAUCACUCAAAGAUGAUCCCGCGUUGUAUUAGCUAGUUGGUGAGGUAAAGGCUCACCAAGGCGAUGAUACAUAGCCGACCUGAGAGGGUGAUCGGCCACAUUGGGACUGAGACACGGCCCAAACUCCUACGGGAGGCAGCAGUAGGGAAUCUUCGGCAAUGGACGAAAGUCUGACCGAGCAACACCGCGUGAGUGAAGAAGGUUUUCGGAUCGUAAAACUCUGUUGGUAGAGAAGAACGUUGGUGAGAGUGGAAAGCUCAUCAAGUGACGGUAACUACCCAGAAAGGGACGGCUAACUACGUG
Molecule: ribosomal RNA, 497 nt
Filed under: uncultured bacterium
Lineage: Bacteria
Description: partial 16S ribosomal RNA
Rfam family: Bacterial small subunit ribosomal RNA
Source: RNAcentral